Molecule: ribosomal RNA, 206 nt
Filed under: uncultured bacterium
Lineage: Bacteria
Description: partial 16S ribosomal RNA
Rfam family: Bacterial small subunit ribosomal RNA
Source: RNAcentral
CCCAGUUCGGACUGCAGGCUGCAACCCGCCUGCACGAAGUUGGAAUUGCUAGUAAUCGCGCAUCAGCCAUGGCGCGGUGAAUACGUUCCCGGGCCUUGUACACACCGCCCGUCAAGCCAUGGGAGCCGGGGGCGCCUGAAGUCCGGGACCGCGAGGACCGGCCUAGGGCGAAACUGGUAACUGGGGCUAAGUCGUAACAAGGUAUC